CCUGACUGCUAUCGGAUUGAUACUAAGCCAUGCUAGUCUUUGUAGUAAUACAAGGCAUACGGCUCAGUAACGCGUAGUCAACCUACCCUAUGGACGGGGAUAAUCUCGGGAAACUGAGCAUAAUACCCGGCAGACCACUUAUCCUGGAAUGGUUAGUGGUUAAAAUGAUUCGUCGCCAUAGGAUGGGACUGCGGCCUAUCAGCUUGUUGGUGAGGUAAUGGCCCACCAAGGCGAUUACAGGUACGGGCUCUGAGAGGAGAGGCCCGGAGAUGGGUACUGAGACAAGGACCCAGGCCCUAUGGGGCGCAGCAGGCGAGAAAACUUUGCAAUGUGCGAAAGCACGACAAGGUUAAUCCGAGUGAUUUCUGCUAAAGGAAUCUUUUGUUAGUUCUAAAAAUACUAGUGAAUAAGGGGUGGGCAAGUUCUGGUGUCAGCCGCCGCGGUAAAACCAGCACCUCAAGUGGUCAGGAGGAUUAUUGGGCCUAAAGCAUCCGUAGCCUGUUCUAUAAGUUUGCGGUUAAAUCUAUACGCUCAACGUAUAGGCUGCCGUAAAUACUGUAGAACUAGGGAGUGGGAGAGGUAGACGGUACUCGAUAGGAAGGGGUAAAAUCCUUUGAUCUAUUGAUGACCACCUGUGGCGAAGGCGGUCUACCAGAACACGUUCGACGGUGAGGGAUGAAAGCUGGGGGAGCAAACCGGAUUAGAUACCCGGGUAGUCCCAGCUGUAAACGAUGCAGACUCGAUGAUGCAAUGGCAUAGAGCUAUUGCAGUAUCGCAGGGAAGCCGUUAAGUCUGCCGCCUGGGAAGUACGUACGCAAGUAUGAAACUUAAAGGAAUUGGCGGGGGAGCACCACAAGGGGUGAAGCCUGCGGUUC
RNAcentral lists this ribosomal RNA (875 nucleotides) under uncultured archaeon. RNAcentral's name for it is "bacterial SSU rRNA". It matches the Rfam family "Archaeal small subunit ribosomal RNA", at positions 21 to 903 of the family's 1478-position model. The record is from RNAcentral.